GUAGUUAGCCGUGGCUUAUUCAUGAGGUACCGUCAUUUGUUUCUUCCCUCAUAAAAGAAGUUUACAACCCGAAGGCCUUCUUCCUUCACGCGGCGUUGCUGGGUCAGGCUUUCGCCCAUUGCCCAAUAUUCCCCACUGCUGCCUCCCGUAGGAGUCUGGACCGUUUCUCAGUUCCAAUGUGGCCGGUCAUCCUCUCAGAUCGGCUACCCAUCGUUGACUUGGUGGGCCGUUACCUCACCAACUAUCUAAUGGGACGCGAGCUCACCCUUGUGCGGAUUUCUCCUUUUACCUCGAUACCAUGUGGUAUCGUGGUCUCGUGCGGUAUUAGCAACUGUUUCCAGUUGUUAUCCCCCUCACAAGGACAGAUUGCUCACGCGUUACGCACCCGUCCGCCACUAAGCUUACUUCGAUUGCUCUCUAUAAGCUCCGUUCGACUUGCAUGUGUUAAGCACGCCGCCAGCGUUCGUCCUGAGCCAUAAUCAAACUCUGA
This 490-nucleotide ribosomal RNA is filed under the name uncultured bacterium. RNAcentral's name for it is "partial 16S ribosomal RNA". The record is from RNAcentral.